UGCCGGAAAGACCACCUUGCUCCACAUGUUGAAAGAUGAGAGGUUAGUACAACAUCAGCCAACACAGUAUCCUACAUCAGAGGAGUUGAGCAUCGGAAAAAUUAAGUUUAAGGCGUUUGAUUUGGGAGGUCACCAGAUUGCUCGUAGAGUUUGGAAGGACUACUAUGCUAAGGUCGAUGCCGUGGUAUACCUGGUGGAUGCCUAUGAUAAAGAGAGAUUUGCAGAAUCCAAAAAAGAACUUGACGCCCUCCUUUCAGAU
This 259-nucleotide unclassified non-coding RNA is filed under the name Hevea brasiliensis (rubber tree). Lineage: Eukaryota; Viridiplantae; Streptophyta; Magnoliopsida; Malpighiales; Euphorbiaceae. The record is from RNAcentral.